RNAcentral lists this long non-coding RNA (414 nucleotides) under Ananas comosus (pineapple). RNAcentral describes it as "long non-coding RNA (ACOM_LNC010878)". The record is from RNAcentral. Lineage: Eukaryota; Viridiplantae; Streptophyta; Magnoliopsida; Poales; Bromeliaceae.
AACUAAAAAGUUGAAAGGAUACACUAAUCAUAUGCUUAUAAAAGUGCCCAAAAUAGAAAAAUAAGGUAAAAAUGUCUGGAAUUUUAUUGUUCAAGAUUUUAAUUUGUUUGAUUUGAAUCAAUUAAGAUUAUUUUGACUUUAAAGUGUAAGCUAAUGAUUUUUUUGAAAAAAAGUGUAAGUUAAUUGUUAACCUUUAAUAAAUAUACAGCUGCACGAGUUGUGCAAAAUAUGCUAGUUAAAUUUGUAAAAAUAAAUAAUACAUUUAAAUGUUAGAGUCAAAAUGCAUGCUGUUGACAUAUUCAAAUUAAACAAAUUGAAAAUUUGAAUUGUAAAAAUAAUUUUGUUAAAAAAUAAAUAGUUAAGUCAACAUAAUUCAUAAUUUAGAUAAAUUUUAUAUUAUUUUGAUGUAAAAAU